RNAcentral lists this ribosomal RNA (250 nucleotides) under uncultured Lactobacillus sp. Its description in RNAcentral is "partial 16S ribosomal RNA". It matches the Rfam family "Bacterial small subunit ribosomal RNA", at positions 524 to 773 of the family's 1533-position model. The record is from RNAcentral. Lineage: Bacteria; Bacillati; Bacillota; Bacilli; Lactobacillales; Lactobacillaceae.
UACGUAGGUGGCAAGCGUUAUCCUGAUUUAUUGGGCGUAAAGCGAGCGCAGGCGGUUUGAUAAGUCUGAUGUGAAAGCCUUUGGCUUAACCAAAGAAGUGCAUCGGAAACUGUCAGACUUGAGUGCAGAAGAGGACAGUGGAACUCCAUGUGUAGCGGUGGAAUGCGUAGAUAUAUGGAAGAACACCAGUGGCGAAGGCGGCUGUCUGGUCUGCAACUGACGCUGAGGCUCGAAAGCAUGGGUAGCGAAC